UACGGAGGGGGGCUAGCGUUGUUCGGAAUUACUGGGCGUAAAGCGCACGUAGGCGGCUUUGCAAGUCAGAGGUGAAAGCCCGGGGCUCAACCCCGGAAUUGCCUUUGAGACUGCAUCGCUAGAAUUGUGGAGAGGUAAGUGGAAUUCCGAGUGUAGAGGUGAAAAUUCGUAGAUAUUCGGAAGAACACCAGUGGCGAAGGCGACUUACUGGACACAUAUUGACGCUGAGGUGCGAAAAGCGUGGGGGAGCAAACAGG
RNAcentral lists this ribosomal RNA (257 nucleotides) under uncultured bacterium. Its description in RNAcentral is "partial 16S ribosomal RNA". It matches the Rfam family "Bacterial small subunit ribosomal RNA", at positions 524 to 776 of the family's 1533-position model. The record is from RNAcentral.